UACGGAGGAUCCAAGCGUUAUCCGGAAUCAUUGGGUUUAAAGGGUCCGUAGGCGGUUUGGUAAGUCAGUGGUGAAAGCCCAUCGCUCAACGGUCGGAACGGCCAUUGAUACUGCCAGACUUGAAUUAUUAGGAAGUAACUAGAAUAUGUAGUGUAGCGGUGAAAUGCUUAGAGAUUACAUGGAAUACCAAUUGCGAAGGCAGGUUACUACUAAUGGAUUGACGCUGAUGGACGAAAGCGUGGGUAGCGAACAGG
This 254-nucleotide ribosomal RNA is filed under the name uncultured bacterium. RNAcentral's name for it is "partial 16S ribosomal RNA". It matches the Rfam family "Bacterial small subunit ribosomal RNA", at positions 524 to 776 of the family's 1533-position model. The record is from RNAcentral.